CUGACGGAACUGGAGACUGAAAUCCCCUGGUUCCUCACAGCACAGGGGCAGCUGCAGCUCCAUAUUGCUGCCUGCCAAUGUGCCUCAACUCUGACCCAAAGGGACCAUCUCGAGGGGUGAAGGGGGCGCUCAUGCUCCAUUUCCAGUUAGUCCUCUCCCUGU
This 162-nucleotide small RNA is filed under the name Chelonoidis abingdonii (Abingdon island giant tortoise). RNAcentral's name for it is "TUC338 (ENSCABG00000005602.1)". Lineage: Eukaryota; Metazoa; Chordata; Testudines; Testudinidae. The record is from RNAcentral.